CAGCCGCCGCGGUAACACGUAGGUGGCAAGCGUUGUCCGGAAUUAUUGGGCGUAAAGGGCUCGCAGGCGGUUUCUUAAGUCUGAUGUGAAAGCCCCCGGCCCAACCGGGGAGGGUCAUUGGAAACUGGGAAACUUGAGUGCAGAAGAGGAGAGUGGAAUUCCACGUGUAGCGGUGAAAUGCGUAGAGAUGUGGAGGAACACCAGUGGCGAAGGCGACUCUCUGGUCUGUAACUGACGCUGAGGAGCGAAAGCGUGGGGAGCAAACAGGAUUAGAUACCCCCGUAGUCCCUGUCUCUUAUAA
RNAcentral lists this ribosomal RNA (301 nucleotides) under uncultured bacterium. Its description in RNAcentral is "partial 16S ribosomal RNA". It matches the Rfam family "Bacterial small subunit ribosomal RNA", at positions 509 to 809 of the family's 1533-position model. The record is from RNAcentral.